RNAcentral lists this long non-coding RNA (1004 nucleotides) under Xyrichtys novacula (pearly razorfish). Lineage: Eukaryota; Metazoa; Chordata; Actinopteri; Labriformes; Labridae. The record is from RNAcentral.
UGGGUCAGGGUUAGGUUUAGGGUUGGAGCUAGGGUUAGGGUUAGGGUUAGUGUUGGAGCUAGGGUUAGGGUUGGGCUUGGAGCUAGGAUUUGUCUGAGUGCAAUGAACCAACUCCCGAGUCUCUAGGACGUUCCUAAAAAAAUUUGAUUUUUUCCCAUAGGAAUGCAUGGGUUAGGGUUAGGGUUAGGGUUGGAGCUAGGGUUAGGGUUAGGGUUAGGGUUGGAGUUAAGGUUAGUGUUGGAGCUAGGGUUAGGGUUGGGCUUGGAGCUAGGAUUUUUCUGAGUGCAGUGAACCAACUCCCGAGUCUCUAGGACGUUCCUAAAAAAAUUUGAUUUUUUCCCAUAGGAAUGCAUGGGUUAGGGUUAUGGUUAGGGUUAGGGUUGGAGCUAGGGUUAGGGUUAGGGUUAGGGUUGGAGUUAGGGUUAGUGUUGGAGCUAGGGUUAGGGUUGGGCUUGGAGCUAGGAUUUUUCUGAGUGCAAUGAACCAACCCCCGAGUCUCUAGGACGUUCCUAGAAAAAUUUGAUUUUUUCCCAUAGGAAUGCAUGGGUUAGGGUUAUGGUUAGGGUUAGGGUUGGAGCUAGGGUUAGGGUUAGGGUUAGGGUUGGAGUUAGGGUUAGUGUUGGAGCUAGGGUUAGGGUUGGGCUUGGAGCUAGGAUUUUUCUGAGUGCAAUGAACCAACUCCCGAGUCUCUAGGACGUUCCUAAAAAAAUUUGAUUUUUUCCCAUAGGAAUGCAUGGGUUAGGGUUAGGGUUAGGGUUGGAGCUAGGGUUAGGGUUAGGGUUGGAGUUAGGGUUAGUGUUGGAGCUAGGGUUAGGGUUGGGCUUGGAGCUAGGAUUUUUCUGAGUGCAAUGAACCAACUCCCGAGUCUCUAGGACGUUCCUAAAAAAAUUUGAUUUUUCCCAUAGGAAUGCAUGGGUCAGGGUUAGGGUUAGGGUUGGAGCUAGGGUUAGGGUUAGGGUUAGGGUUGGAGUUAGGGUUAGUGUUGGAGCUAGGGUUAGGGUUGG